CGCUAAUCAACAAACAUGGGACACAGUGGAUACAUGAGGGUAAAACCCCCAACAGCAACACCCCCGCAAUCCCAUUACCAGCAGCCUGUUAGCACGGGGAUAAAUGAUAGGAACUGAAAGCCACUUUCCCAGCAGUGCGCUGGCUUCUGCACGGCUCACAGAAAUAAAGCAGGGAGUUAUGCAUCCGAAUAUAGGCAAGGAACAGAUCACUGGAAUAAGACCUACUUUUUUAUGCAGUAACUUGUCAGCUUGUAGGUUUCUCCCACCAUCUUUCUACACCAAUGGGCCUCCACCAGCAGGUGGCGUGAUCACACCACGUGCCAUUCACAGUCCCAAUGCCCCUUACAGCAGAGGAGGCCUGUGUUCACACCAACAUGACAUUGCACAAGGAGGCGUGCAAGGAUGGACCGUGUGUGACCCAAAGCUGCUAUCUCCAACUAUCCUGACACAGUCACUGCUCUGGUGGUUUACGACGUUUCCAUUUCAGAGCCUUCUGCAAAUCAACUCGGUGGCACUUCUGGUUGUGAAAGGCCAAACGAGGAAGGAGGAAGAGAGCAGAGAACGGGUUAACUUGACACUUCAGCGAGCUCUGUCUGAAGAUAAGACGCUGGCCCUGGUCUAAGAUCAUGGGCUCGAUAAGAAGUUUACAGCUGCAUUCACAUUUAUCCAACUCCAGUCAGCCAUGAGAAAAGGAGAGCUGAGCUGAGCAGGGCUGCAGAGAUUGCAAAACGAGCAAGAUGGCGAAGGCCAACCGGGGGGGACGGGGGGAGAACAAAGUCUCUCAAGCCAGUGUUUUGGGAAAGCACAGCAAGCCGGUUUGGACUGGUACAAAGAGCACCAGCAGCAGAGGUUCCUGAAUGAAACACUCCCUAAAAAAACCCCAGGACUUAAAAACCUUCGAGAGCCAAAGCAAGUCGGAGAUUACAGCGAACCCUGGACAACUUGUGCACGGGACAAGAACUCUCGUCCACCCUUGCUACGUUAUACCCAGGCUUGGCCAGCCUCGGGUUGUGCAUGUGUGAGUAUGAAAGUGGGUUAGGGCUGGGGCACUAACGCUUUCUUUCUUCCUCUGAGUGACAUGGGAGCAUUCCCAGCGCUCACCACUGUUAUUUUAUUAAUAAAGCUUUAAAAU
This is a non-coding RNA of Chelonoidis abingdonii (Abingdon island giant tortoise), 1132 nucleotides long. The record is from RefSeq and is a predicted model, not a curated record. Lineage: Eukaryota; Metazoa; Chordata; Testudines; Testudinidae.